ACCCCUCAGUGUCCCCGAGUGCUCCCCAGCACAGCCCCACGGUGCCUGUGGCACAUCCCAGUGAGCCACCUCCCCACGGAGCAAAAGCUGUCCUUGUGCAGCAGGACUGAAGCCUGGGAGCACCUACCUGAGCCCAAGGCUCCUUAAUUCCCCAGCCAGAAAUCAGGACAUUGUUUUGUGCUCUAUGCAUAAUUCAUCAUUCAGAGCUUAAUUAACUAAAGCUCCUCGUGGCAAUGCCCGGAGAGGCUCCCACCAGCUCCAGGCACUUCCAGCCACCCCAGUCCGUGGCUGCCAAGGCCAUGGUGUUGCUCUGGUUGCUGUAUCCAUGCCUCACUGCUGCUCUGUGACGUCCCAAAAGUUUUCAAGACUCUUCUGUUGUGAUUUUCAGUUCUUUGCUCCAGCAGGAUUUGCAUCAGUCAAAGAGCAGCCAAGGUCCCCCCAUCCUGACCAUCCCCACGAAAUCUGCCUUUUACAAAUCUGCCUUUCAGCUGGAAAAUACCUGCUCUGGGGAGGCUUCCCUGCCUUGUCCUCCAUUCUCUGCAUCCAUUCCAGAAGUGCCCUGAUCCAGGCAGGAGGGCUCAGCACCGGUGCUCAGCACCCUGAGCCAGGCAGGAAUGCCCAGGAAGGCUGGAAGUGUCUGCAGGAUGGGAUGAGCUGGAUGCAGACCUUGGCCCUCAGCACCAACCACAGAUCCCGAGAACAGACAGAUGAGGAGAAUCAUCCUCGCAAGGAGGAAUUAGUAAUGAGCCCGCUCAGACCUGGCGUUUGCUCUGUCGCCGCUCCCAGUUCCCACGGCCUGCAGGCAAACACCAAAUCCCUGGAGAUGCUGCACAGGCCGGGAUCAGUGGCUGGUUACCGGGACGUGCAGCCACACAGCACAGCCCUGAGCACAGCACAGUCAAUUAUUCAGCCAAAAGCAGUCCAGCCACUCGCAUCAACCCCUUUCUGUGCCGUGAAAACAGGGGGUUGGGGUCUCCCAGGGACUGAAGGUCGUGGCAUUGCUCAGGUCCCAGAAAAAACCCCUGCAGCUGGAGCAGGGAGCGGUGCUUUGUUCCCCCACAGCUCUGCAGAGGCAGUGGCAGCACCACAGAGCCCACUCCUGGUGGUGUCUGUGGCCUUGGGCCAGCAGGACCCCCCCUGCACCUGCCCUGCUUUGGGCACCUCCCAGGGACCAGAAUCCAUGAACUGGGUGGCACAAGGAGCAGGAGAGUGGCACUAACUGUGGCUGUGCCUCACAGGGGAGGUGACAGCCCCCUCCCAGCCCACCCUGCUCCUCCCUGGUGCUCCAGGCUUGGCUUCCUCCGCAGAGGCUGCUUGCUCUCUUUGUGGGGGGAAAAGGGGAUUUGUACUAAAGCUCUUUGCAUGAAAA
This is a non-coding RNA of Cyanistes caeruleus (blue tit), 1369 nucleotides long. NCBI's taxonomy places the organism in Eukaryota, Metazoa, Chordata, Aves, Passeriformes, Paridae. The record is from RefSeq and is a predicted model, not a curated record.